This is a non-coding RNA of Arachis ipaensis, 462 nucleotides long. Lineage: Eukaryota; Viridiplantae; Streptophyta; Magnoliopsida; Fabales; Fabaceae. The record is from RefSeq and is a predicted model, not a curated record.
AUAAGUUUAGGGAUAACACCAAAAUGAUGCCAAUUCAUACACAGACAAUCUCAUUCCAUAAGAGACAAGCUCUUGUAACAUACAUGGAGAACAAUAGAGCAGGAAUCACUGUGUUUGGAUUCAUGCUUGAUAGAACAUGGCUCUACUCAAUUUUUGCAAUUCAAUUGGCUCUAUGCCUUUGGCUACUUAACAAGACAGUUGGUGUUUAGAGACAGAGAGAAAAACUGCCUUGAUCUUCCUACCUUGUUCACUAUGUGUUUUGUAAUGUACUAAUGCAUAAUAUUAUUUUAUAGUGAUUAGUUCAUUUGGAUCUGAUAGUUCUGGUUAUGAACUUUAUGAUCAACGAAAUGGUAAAUGAUAUAUGAGUCUGCUCCACAAGUUACAGAAACUAGUGUUAAUGAUGAGUAACAUUGUUGAGUUCAAAGGUGUUGACUAGUUCCACAAAUAAUCCACUUCUUGCAA